Molecule: long non-coding RNA, 499 nt
Filed under: Durio zibethinus
Lineage: Eukaryota; Viridiplantae; Streptophyta; Magnoliopsida; Malvales; Malvaceae
Description: long non-coding RNA (DZIB_LNC002418)
Source: RNAcentral
AAAAACAUACUCAAGUAAAUCCAAGACCACUAGCUUUGAAGAACAACAAAAAAGGAUGGGUUAAAAGACAAGUAAAAGAGAGCUCAUGGUUGCUGGAGGAUGGAUUAAGGUGCUUGGGUCGAUUCUCAAGAUGGUGACUUUUGGUGGUGCUGCCCAGGACCCAACUAAGGAUUAGCAGGAAGGUCUUGUUAUGGUCUCCGAUCUCGUACAAAUCGAUCGACGAUUGAACCUUGAUUUGUGGGCGUGUUUCUGUUUUGUGGGCGUGUUUCUUAAGGGGAUUAACAGCAGAUUAGCGGUAGGAGUAGGAGAAAAAGGAAAGGAACAAGACUGAGAUAGACAAAACUCAUAAGAAGACGAGAGAAGCAGAGCAGUUUUAUUUUGGUCUGUGAAGGCGUGGGUCUUAGGGAAUUAGGAGGAGACAAGCCUAAAAUAAAGUUUUUUAGGGUAGAAUUUGUAAAAUUUUUUUAAAAAUUUUUAAAAAUUUAAAUUGAUAGAUUGG